RNAcentral lists this ribosomal RNA (254 nucleotides) under uncultured bacterium. Its description in RNAcentral is "partial 16S ribosomal RNA". It matches the Rfam family "Bacterial small subunit ribosomal RNA", at positions 118 to 353 of the family's 1533-position model. The record is from RNAcentral.
UAAACAACCUGCCUUCAGGAUGGGGACAACAGACGGAGACGACUGCUAAUACCGAAUAAGUUCCAAGAGCCGCAUGGCCCAUGGAAGAAAAGGUGGCCUCUACCUGUAAGCUAUCGCCUGAAGAGGGGUUUGCGUCUGAUUAGCUGGUCGGAGGGGUAACGGCCCACCAAGGCGACGAUCAGUAGCCGGUCUGAGAGGAUGAACGGCCACACUGGAACUGAGACACGGUCCAGACUCCUACGGGAGGCAGCAUG